This 927-nucleotide ribosomal RNA is filed under the name Pseudocladosporium hachijoense. Its description in RNAcentral is "eukaryotic LSU rRNA". It matches the Rfam family "Eukaryotic large subunit ribosomal RNA", at positions 1 to 943 of the family's 3401-position model. The record is from RNAcentral. Lineage: Eukaryota; Fungi; Ascomycota.
UUGACCUCGGAUCAGGUAGGAAUACCCGCUGAACUUAAGCAUAUCAAUAAGCGGAGGAAAAGAAACCAACAGGGAUUACCUCAGUAACGGCGAGUGAAGCGGUAAUAGCUCAAAUUUGAAAUCUGGCUCUUUCAGGGUCCGAGUUGUAAUUUGUAGAGGAUGUUUCGGGCACGGUUACGGUUUAAAUUUCUUGGAACAGAAUGUCAAAGAGGGUGAGAGUCCCGUCUUGAACCGAUUACUUCGUCCAUGUGAAACUCCUUCGACGAGUCGAGUUGUUUGGGAAUGCAGCUCAAAAUGGGUGGUAAAUUUCAUCUAAAGCUAAAUAUUGGCCAGAGACCGAUAGCGCACAAGUAGAGUGAUCGAAAGAUGAAAAGCACUUUGAAAAGAGAGUUAAACAGUAUGUGAAAUUGUUGAAAGGGAAGCGCUUGUAAUCAGACUUGAGCUUAACAGUUCCCCCUUCGUUCUCGUUGGGUUAUUCUGUUUUGUCCAGGCCAACAUCAGUUCGGGUGGUUGGUUAAAGACUUUAGGAAUGUAUCUACCCCUCGGGGUCGACUUAUAGCCUAGAGUGUCAUGCAGCCUACCUGGACUGAGGAACGCGCUUCGGCUCGGAUGUUGGCGUAAUGGUUAUAAGCGACCCGUCUUGAAACACGGACCAAGGAGUCUAACAUCUAUGCAAGUCUUUGAGUGGAAAACUCGCAGGCGUAAUGAAAGUGAACGGAGGUAAGAAGCCUUUAGGCUGCAUUAUCGACCGAUCUUGAUGUCUUCGGAUGGAUUUGAGUAAGAGCAUAGCUGUUGGGACCCGAAAGAUGGUGAACUAUGCCUGAAUAGGGUGAAGCCAGAGGAAACUCUGGUGGAGGCUCGCAGCGGUUCUGACGUGCAAAUCGAUCGUCAAAUUUGGGUAUAGGGGCGAAAGACUAAUCGAACCAU